This 232-nucleotide small RNA is filed under the name Histoplasma ohiense. Its description in RNAcentral is "hypothetical lncRNA". The record is from RNAcentral. Lineage: Eukaryota; Fungi; Ascomycota; Eurotiomycetes; Onygenales; Ajellomycetaceae.
AGGACAGCUUGAUGGUAUACGUGCCGACGAGGACGGCGCUGGUGCUGGCGCCCGAGGAGGAGACCGAGGGAUAAUGUAGUUGUAUGCGUUCUCCAUGCGAUGUAACAAUGGCUGGAGGGACUGGUUCUAAUAGUUAAUUGUCAGAUUAGUUAGUUAACUAUGGAAAUUGUUCUCAUAAGUUAUAUAGAUCUCAGAGCUGUUUUCGUGGUAAGUUAUGUAAUCUUUGCUGGCU